RNAcentral lists this ribosomal RNA (499 nucleotides) under uncultured bacterium. RNAcentral describes it as "partial 16S ribosomal RNA". It matches the Rfam family "Bacterial small subunit ribosomal RNA", at positions 28 to 507 of the family's 1533-position model. The record is from RNAcentral.
GACGAACGCUGGCGGCGUGCCUAAUACAUGCAAGUCGAGCGGACCAAACAGGAGCUUGCUCUUGUUUGGUUAGCGGCGGACGGGUGAGUAACACGUGGGUAACCUGCCCGUAAGACCGGGAUAACUCCGGGAAACCGGAGCUAAUACCGGAUAACCCCGAAGACCGCAGGGUCUUUGGUUGAAAGGCGGCUUCGGCGGCCACUUACGGUUGGGCCCGCGGCGCAUUAGCUAGUUGGUGAGGUAACGGCUCACCAAGGCGACGAUGCGUAGCCGGCCUGCGAGGGUGACCGGCCACACUGGGACUGAGACACGGCCCAGACUCCUACGGGAGGCAGCAGUAGGGAAUCUUCCGCAAUGGACGAAAGUCUGACGGAGCGACGCCGCGUGAGCGAAGAAGGUCUUCGGAUCGUAAAGCUCUGUUGUUAGGGAAGAAGAAGCGCCGUUCGAACAGGGCGGCGCGGUGACGGUACCUAACGAGAAAGCCCCGGCUAACUACGUG